GUGCCAGCCGCCGCGGUAAUACGUAGGGGGCAAGCGUUGUCCGGAUUUAUUGGGCGUAAAGAGCGUGUAGGCGGCUAGGUAGGUCCGUUGUGAAAACUCGAGGCUCAACCUCGAGACGCCGGUGGAAACCAUCUAGCUAGAGUCCGGAAGAGGAGAGUGGAAUUCCUGGUGUAGCGGUGAAAUGCGCAGAUAUCAGGAAGAACACCCGUGGCGAAGGCGGCUCUCUGGUACGUGACUGACGCUGAGACGCGAAAGCGUGGGGAGCGAACAGGAUUAGAUACCCCGGUAGUCC
RNAcentral lists this ribosomal RNA (292 nucleotides) under uncultured bacterium. RNAcentral's name for it is "partial 16S ribosomal RNA". It matches the Rfam family "Bacterial small subunit ribosomal RNA", at positions 505 to 796 of the family's 1533-position model. The record is from RNAcentral.